GGGGGAAUAGUGCACAAUGGGCGCAAGCCUGAUGCAGCCAUGCCGCGUGUGUGAAGAAGGCCUUCGGGUUGUAAAGUACUUUCAGUCGGGAGGAAGGUGGUAAGGUUAAUAACCUUAUCAAUUGACGUUACCGACAGAAGAAGCACCGGCUAACUCCGUGCCAGCAGCCGCGGUAAUACGGAGGGUGCAAGCGUUAAUCGGAAUUACUGGGCGUAAAGCGCACGCAGGCGGUUUGUUAAGUCAGAUGUGAAAUCCCCGGGCUCAACCUGGGAACUGCAUCUGAUACUGGCAAGCUUGAGUCUCGUAGAGGGGGGUAGAAUUCCAGGUGUAGCGGUGAAAUGCGUAGAGAUCUGGAGGAAUACCGGUGGCGAAGGCGGCCCCCUGGACGAAGACUGACGCUCAGGUGCGAAAGCGUGGGGAGCAAACAGG
This 429-nucleotide ribosomal RNA is filed under the name Chloroflexota bacterium. Its description in RNAcentral is "Chloroflexi bacterium partial 16S ribosomal RNA". It matches the Rfam family "Bacterial small subunit ribosomal RNA", at positions 355 to 776 of the family's 1533-position model. Lineage: Bacteria; Bacillati; Chloroflexota. The record is from RNAcentral.